This 69-nucleotide transfer RNA is filed under the name Dipodomys ordii (Ord's kangaroo rat). It matches the Rfam family "tRNA". From Rfam's summary of the family: Transfer RNA (tRNA) molecules are approximately 80 nucleotides in length. Lineage: Eukaryota; Metazoa; Chordata; Mammalia; Rodentia; Heteromyidae. The record is from Rfam by way of RNAcentral.
GGGAAUGUGACUUAGUGGUAGAGUGCUUGCCUCACAUGCAUAAAGCCUGAGUUCAAUUCCUCAGUACCA